GAUACCGGAAGGUGUACUUGGAAA
Molecule: ribosomal RNA, 24 nt
Filed under: Ischnocnema parva
Lineage: Eukaryota; Metazoa; Chordata; Amphibia; Anura; Brachycephalidae
Description: partial 12S ribosomal RNA
Source: RNAcentral